RNAcentral lists this ribosomal RNA (87 nucleotides) under Escherichia coli. Its description in RNAcentral is "partial 23S ribosomal RNA". The stretch from base 1 to 74 matches the Rfam family "Bacterial large subunit ribosomal RNA", at positions 2852 to 2925 of the family's 2925-position model. The record is from RNAcentral. Lineage: Bacteria; Pseudomonadati; Pseudomonadota; Gammaproteobacteria; Enterobacterales; Enterobacteriaceae.
GUUGAUAGGCCGGGUGUGUAAGCGCAGCGAUGCGUUGAGCUAACCGGUACUAAUGAACCGUGAGGCUUAACCUUACAACGCCGAAGC